Molecule: small RNA, 989 nt
Filed under: Drosophila pseudoobscura pseudoobscura
Lineage: Eukaryota; Metazoa; Arthropoda; Insecta; Diptera; Drosophilidae
Description: GA32755
Source: RNAcentral
CAAAAAUAUUUGGCAGAACAUCAACACGUAUUCAACACACUUUUAAUCCGGGCCAGUUGGUUGGGAUGUUGCUGGAUAAUGGCUAAUACAGCUGCAUAAACGGGACGAUUAGCACUACACCGAAUUACACUCCUAACCGCUCGUCCUCACGUAGAUGAUAUACAUCCAACACAUUUUCCAAAUUCCAAAGUCCAAAGCACCCCUUUUCGGCCCCAAAAAUAUUUGAUUUAAUUAUAGAAAAAAUACUUUGUAUUCAACACACUUUUAAUCCGGGCCAGUUGGUUGGGUUGUUGCUGGAUAAUGGCUAAUACAGCUGCAUAAACGGGACGAUUAGCACUACACCGAAUUACACUCCUAACCGCUCGUCCUCACGUAGAUGAUAUACAUCCAACACAUUUUCCAAAUUCCAAAGUCCAAAGCACCCCUUUUCGGCCCCAAAAAUAUUUGAUUUAAUUAUAGAAAAAAUACUUUGUAUUCAACACACUUUUAAUCCGGGCCAGUUGGUUGGGUUGUUGCUGGAUAUUGGCUAAUACAGCUGCAUAAACGGGACGAUUAGCACUACACCGAAUUACACUCCUAAUCGUUGCGGUUAUGCAGCUCUUAAGGCAGGCGAUAAAAUGGCUGCUGCUAAUUUCGUCGCACACAAAAACAGUGGGCAGCAUAGAAUAGACAAUAGACAAGACAAAAAUAAUGCAUAUGUAAUCUAACCUACAGAACAAAUGACUAGAGUUUUGGCACACAAAUCAAGUUUUUACCUUCCAUUGAUCCUCGCUGUGGAGCUCUGAAGAUUCUUAACAUUUAAUUUAUACUUGUUUGCACAUAUACAUAUUAUAUAUAUAUAUAUAUAUAUCGAAUACAGACACACACCCAAAUACUUGUGGGACAUAGAAUAACUUGAAAUGCAGACAGACUUGCGGAUAUAGUAUAGGAUCGUGCAUCUCUGGUGCAUUUCAAGUAUCGUUAGCCGUUUAAUAAUAAAUAUUGUACAC